AGAGCGAACGCUGGCGGCAGGCCUAAUACAUGCAAGUCGAACGGAUCCUUCGGGAUUAGUGGCGGACGGGUGAGUAACACGUGGGAACGUGCCCUUUGGUUCGGAACAACUCAGGGAAACUUGAGCUAAUACCGAAUGUGCCCUUCGGGGGAAAGAUUUAUCGCCAUUGGAGCGGCCCGCGUCUGAUUAGCUAGUUGGUGGGGUAAAGGCCCACCAAGGCGACGAUCAGUAGCUGGUCUGAGAGGAUGAUCAGCCACACUGGGACUGAGACACGGCCCAGACUCCUACGGGAGGCAGCAGUAGGGAAUCUUGCGCAAUGGGCGAAAGCCUGACGCAGCCAUGCCGCGUGAAUGAUGAAGGUCUUAGGAUUGUAAAAUUCUUUCAGCGGGGACGAUAAUGACGGUACCCGCAGAAGAAGCCCCGGCUAACUUCGCGCCAGCAGCCGC
This 446-nucleotide ribosomal RNA is filed under the name uncultured bacterium. RNAcentral describes it as "SSU rRNA". It matches the Rfam family "Bacterial small subunit ribosomal RNA", at positions 26 to 518 of the family's 1533-position model. The record is from RNAcentral.